GGAGAAAAGGUGCGGCCAUUAUAGAGCUGCAAAGGCAGCUAUUAUUGUUUGAUUCACAAACUGUUGAGAUGAUGUAUUACUUGAGCUGUAUGGCUGUAUGCAUGAACAUGCAAAAGGCCGGAAUGAUAUUUCCAUUUCCAAAAAAAAGCUAUUAUACCAGUGAUGCAUGGUUCUCUCUCUUUUGUCGAAAGGCAGAGAGCAAUCCGAGAUUUCAACAAGGAAUAAAGCAAUCCAAGACUUCAAGGUUAGACCUUCAUAAAUGGCUGAUGUUAUUGGUUGUAGUAUACUCCUACAAGAUUAGUUGUAUUGCUGUAACAAGAUAUGGACAGGACAACACGCCCGUACAGUAGCACAGUGUGUGAUUGAGAUACUAGAUGGAUGGAUGGAUAGACCUACAAAAUCUUUGUGAUUGACAUGGACAGCCAAGCGCACAGGGAAACCCGGAAAUGGGGCAUUUUUUUUUUGGUGUGAACACCGGCAGGCAGGCAGCAAUCAAGGAAUGCAAUCCGGUUUCUUCCGCAGGCGCACGAGUUAGAUCCACAGGAACAACAAGUAGGGGGGAAAAUGGAGUCUUUCGUAGAUGAGAAGAGGGAGGUGCUAGAUAGUAGUACCUUGAGG
Molecule: unclassified non-coding RNA, 618 nt
Filed under: Zea mays
Lineage: Eukaryota; Viridiplantae; Streptophyta; Magnoliopsida; Poales; Poaceae
Description: misc RNA Zm00001eb118960
Source: RNAcentral